This 302-nucleotide ribosomal RNA is filed under the name uncultured bacterium. Its description in RNAcentral is "partial 16S ribosomal RNA". It matches the Rfam family "Bacterial small subunit ribosomal RNA", at positions 508 to 807 of the family's 1533-position model. The record is from RNAcentral.
GCAGUAGCCGCGGGAAUACGGAGGGAGCUAGCGUUGUUCGGAAUUACUGGGCGUAAAGCGCACGUAGGCGGCUUUGUAAGUCAGAGGUGAAAGCCUGGAGCUCAACUCCAGAACUGCCUUUGAGACUGCAUCGCUUGAAUCCAGGAGAGGUGAGUGGAAUUCCGAGUGUAGAGGUGAAAUUCGUAGAUAUUCGGAAGAACACCAGUGGCGAAGGCGGCUCACUGGACUGGUAUUGACGCUGAGGUGCGAAAGCGUGGGGAGCAAACAGGAUUAGAUACCCGGGUAGUCCCUGUCUCUUAUAC